This 310-nucleotide ribosomal RNA is filed under the name Vibrio cholerae. RNAcentral describes it as "bacterial SSU rRNA". It matches the Rfam family "Bacterial small subunit ribosomal RNA", at positions 1 to 305 of the family's 1533-position model. RNAcentral also lists the same sequence under 1 other name. The record is from RNAcentral. Lineage: Bacteria; Pseudomonadati; Pseudomonadota; Gammaproteobacteria; Vibrionales; Vibrionaceae.
UUUAAUUGAAGAGUUUGAUCAUGGCUCAGAUUGAACGCUGGCGGCAGGCUUAACACAUGCAAGUCGAGCGGUAGCACAAGGGAGCUUGCUCCCUGGGUGACGAGCGGCGGACGGGUGAGUAAUGUCUGGGAAACUGCCUGAUGGAGGGGGAUAACUACUGGAAACGGUAGCUAAUACCGCAUAACGUCGCAAGACCAAAGAGGGGGACCUUCGGGCCUCUUGCCAUCAGAUGUGCCCAGAUGGGAUUAGCUAGUAGGUGGGGUAAUGGCUCACCUAGGCGACGAUCCCUAGCUGGUCUGAGAGGAUGACC